Spodoptera frugiperda (fall armyworm) is the source of this 954-nucleotide long non-coding RNA. RefSeq lists it as uncharacterized. The record is from RefSeq and is a predicted model, not a curated record. The transcript has 2 exons. Lineage: Eukaryota; Metazoa; Arthropoda; Insecta; Lepidoptera; Noctuidae.
AAAGCAAAAUGUCUGUCUGUCGGUCAGUCCUCUAGUUGCUCUAUUUGCUCGUUCCAAAGUGUAGAUUCCUAUGGAGAAGAACGAGCAAGAAACUCCAUAGGUUACUCUUUUCCAAUCAGGUUCACAAUACAAUACUUGGUUACAUUGUUUCGAUUGCUUCAACUAUGUGAGAACAAUGUAAAACUAAUAUUCAGUCAAAGUGAUAGUAAUUCCGGAGAUUAACACGUUCAAAUAAACAAAGAAAGCUUUAUAAUAUACGUAUAGAUACCAUACAUACAUACAUAACCUCACGCCUGUCUCCCAUGGGGGUAGGCAGAGACAAUGGAACGCCAAUUGCUACGAAUCUUACACACUUCUUUCGCUUCAUCAACAGUCAUCAGUCUUUUCAUACAUGCUCGUCGGUUAAAGGUACUUUUAAUUUGGCCCUUCUUUAAUAAGUAAUUAAUAAGACAGACAAACAGACAUGUUUAAAUAUACCAGUAUUAUCUUCUAAAACAAUAUUUUACUAAUAAGUUGCAGUUUGCCAAGUUCCUACUUAAAGAAAAUUAUUUAAUUUUAUAAAUAAAUUUGAUACCACGGCCUCACAGAAAACCGACGUGAAACAACGCUUGCGUUGUGUGAGUGAGGUUACCGGAGGCCCAAUUACCCCCUUCCCAAUCUUCCCAAUCUUUCCAUCCCCGAUACCCCCUUAAAUUCCUAACCCCCAAAAGGCCGGCAACGCACUUGUAAUGCCUCUGGUGUUUCAAGUGUCCAUGGGCGGCGGCGAUUGCUUACCAUCAGGUGAUCCGUCUGCUCGUUUACCGACUUAUACCAUAAAAAAACAAAGGCCAGUGGUUUUUAUACUGUGAUUUAUUUUAUUUUAAGAGUCUCAUUUUGUAUUAUUAUUAUUAGAUUUUAUUUUAGUUGAUCUCCUAUUGCUGUGAGUCUAAAUUAAAAUAUACUAUAUUCCUUCGA